UACGGAGGAGGCAAGGGUUAUCCGGAAUUAUUGGGCGUAACGCGUCCGUAGGUGGUUGACCAAGUCUGCUGUCAAAGGGUGGGGCUUAACCUCAUAAAGGCAGUGGAAACUGGUGAGCUAGAGUGCGGUAGGGGUAAGGGGAAUUCCCAGUGUAGCGGUGAAAUGCGUAGAGAUUGGGAAGAACAUCGGUGGCGAAAGCGCCUUGCUGGGCCUGCACUGACACUGAGGGACGAAAGCUAGGGGAGCGAAAGGG
This 253-nucleotide ribosomal RNA is filed under the name uncultured bacterium. Its description in RNAcentral is "partial 16S ribosomal RNA". It matches the Rfam family "Bacterial small subunit ribosomal RNA", at positions 524 to 776 of the family's 1533-position model. The record is from RNAcentral.